UGAGAAGAAAAACAAAAACGUUGAACUUUGAACACUUGACUUUAAAGAAAGAAAGUGCAACAACUUACAUAACAUUGGAUAGUAGGGGUAAAAUCAGGUGACGUUACACUACGGAUGAAACCAAACAUCAACAACAAAAAAACAAAAUAACAAAAAAAAAAAUUCACUCCUUUCUCACACUAGCUAGCAAACUUGAACGUAACAAAACACGCAUGAAACAAACUUGAACUAAUAAAGAAAGUAAAAUUUAAUUAUACGAAAGUGACGAAUCUUCAUGGAAGUGGAAGGUUCCCAGCACCACCAGCACCAACACCAGUACCUGCACCACCACCAAUGCCACCACCUAGUCCUCCUAGACCCCCUAGUCCACCACCUAGUCCACCUACUGAACCAAAUCCAGCUCCUCCACCAAUUCCAGUACCAACUCCACCAACGUUGCUACCUACUCCGCUUAUGACUCCGCCAUAAGGCAGGCCAUUGCUACCAAUGCCCCCUAUAACUCCAGCGCCUCCGAAAACAUUCUUUUGGUCAGAAAGACUUUUGUCACUUGGCAAUUCUCUUGCUGCUGUGGUCUGAACCACUACCAAAGCAAGACAAAGGAUAACUAUGGACAACUUACUUGCCAUCACUCCCUCUCUUUCUCACAAUGCCUAAGUCUCUCUCUCUCUUUUCUUUAUCCUACGCCUUUACACUUGAGUGAUGAAGUGGUGGCAUUCCUUGAGUCUGUUUUUAUAGGCUGAAAAUGGGUUGGUGGCCAAUGAAUACAAAAAUUCAAUGGAAUUCAAUGCCUCUGUGUACGUCUUGUAGCCACUGGUUCGUGGAAACCCUUCGGUUUGUUUGACUAAGGGAAAAAAAUGUAUUCCUCAAUUUUAUUUUAUUUUUUGAAAAAUAAGUAAUUUUUAUUUAUUUUCUAUGUUCACUAGGUCAGAAGAAAAUAUUGAUUUAAAAAUAUUUAUAUAUGUUUAUUAUUUUUUUGGUAUAGUUGAAUUUAUUCGUGAGUUAAGAGUAUGCGUUACGGUAGUCUUAGCUUCAAAUUUAGUAGAAAGUGUUUGCAGAAAAGUAAAUAACCUAACUAGAGAUCAAAAUAAUUGAACAAGCAAAGAUUAGGAGCAAAUCAUAUAGCGUAGAACGAAUGUUAGAUUGUAUCAACCAAGAGUACAAACGUGAGCAAGCUCGAGCAUCACAAGGAGAAAGAAGUAAACAACUAAAGGAAAAUGCUAAUGCUUAAUAUAAGGACCAAACCAAAAGAUAGUACUCGGAAUCAAAAUAAGUCAGGAUAUGAAUAAAGUGAUUAAAAUAAGUCAUCUCUUCAAUAAGUUAUCAAAAAUUCAAAAUAGGCUAAACGUAAUAAUUUAUUACGUUUUACCUGUUAAUUUAAUGAUGCUUUAACGGAAAUCUAGCAUAAAACUUUUUUUUUUAAACGUAAAAUUUCUGACAUUUUAAAAAUAUUUUGUAAAAUGUAAGAUAUUCUUAUGUUUUACACAAAAAAUAAACAAAAAAAAGUAUAUUAUCAAAUCAAUCUACAAACACUUUUAUGUCAAAUCUAUGUAAAUUGUAAUAAAAAGUUACAAUUUAUAUAAAUUGUAACUUUUUAUUACAAUUCAUAAAAAAAAAGUUGUGUUGUCAAGUGCUGUGUAAACACCUUUAUUCUCGUGUUCACUUCUUACAUGGAUGAAAGGCUUGAGUAGGCAAGUUUAGGUGAACCUUUAUUGCUAAAUCUUGGUGGUUGGAGGACACUUUGUCAAGUAACUCAAGUUAAAGUGAAGCUAUUUAAAAAUUAGCUAUACAUGAUAACGUGAUUCUGGAAAGCUCUUGGUGCUCUUGCCUAGACUUGCUACCAGAAAUUACAAUCGUUAUGGGAGUAGAAUAUAGGUAAAUAGGUCUAAAACUGAAGGAUUUGUCACGAUCCAAUUUUUCAAGUCGUAUUGGUGCCUACCUUAUUCCACGGUAGACAAGUCAAUUCAUAGCCCGAAAUAAUAUGUAACGGGCUAAUAAGCAAAAAUCAGAAAAUAUCACUUAUACUGAUAGCAAUAGUAAUAACAAGUAAUAAACAGAAAGUAAACAUGUCUUAUUUACUAAAACGAGGAAAGGAAAAUGACCAAAUACAUAAAAGAAUUCCUCCCAAGAUCUGGUAAGGUUGGUACUAGAGCCAAUACUAAAAUAUACCCAGAGUACUAGAUAGAAUAAAAAAUACACCAAUAUAUACAAGCAGUCUCGAGUACAAAAGACUAAACUAGAGUAGAUAGAGAAGGAUCAGCCUCGGACGACAGUAUGCUCACCCUGCUCCGAAUCAGUACUGGAAGGUAGGAAUCACGUCAAUGUCGGCUGCUACUACUCGGAUCUGCAUUAGGGAAAAGAUGCAGAAGUGUAGUAUGAGCAUCAAAGCAACGGGUACUUAGUAGGCACCAUCGAUCGACUGAGCUCAAAACAGAAACAGUAUAACUUCAAUGCAAGGAUGUAAUCUAGGUCAAAAGUAAAAAGGGACAGAACGGUAAACAACUGCCAAGCUAUGCCGAUAAGAUCAAGGAACAAAUGUAGGCAAUACAGAAAAUAAAUAACGCAAUAAUUAUAGAUAAAUCAAACAUAACCUAACUGGGGCCCCAUAAGGCCGCCAGGCACACAAACAUAACCUAACUGGGCCCCCAUAAGCCCACUCGGCACACUGAAGAAGAUAAUUAACCCAACCACACCCCCAUAAGCCGGUGGGACACACAAGUAGCAAUGAAAGAAAAUAAACAUAAAUAAUUUGUAACUGAGCCAAUCCCAAGAAAUCAUGAUAGUCAUCCAGAUGUGCACCAAACUUGAAUCGACACCAAUGUGUAGUAACGAAAGGCCAGAUACUGAACCCGAACUGGUAAUGAUGGAUAAUAACAAGAGGACACGUGCCGGAUUCGAACCGAACAUAGUGGGUAAUAAUGAUAGGCCACAUAUAUAAUAUACACCAAAACUCAUAAUUAAAUGUCGAACUCGAACUGAAACUCAAAAGAACCACAACCAUAAUCAGAUGUCGGACUUGAACCGGAACUAUAAGCAUAAUUAGAUGUCGAACUCGAACCGAAACUCAUUGGAACCACAAUAAUCAAAUGUCGGGCUCGAACCAGAAUUCAUAGUAACCAUAAUAAUCAAAUACCGGACUCGAACCUGAACUAAUAGUAACCAUACCCAACUGUAAUAUUAAAAUCCAUACCAUAUCAAAACAAUGUCAAUGUGGUACAAAAAUUCACAAUCAUUGACAGAAAUAAAGUAUAUGUUGAACCUGAACAGAAGCUAAAAAUACAUCUAAUUAUCAUAUGCAUGUCUUAAUUCUUAAGGGGCAAAUUCAUGGUUUUGUAAUUUAAUUCCACGUUUUAAAGUGAUAUAUGCUAUAUUAUAUUGAAAGAUAAAAUACCAAAAUCUACAAAACAGGGUCUUAAUCCGGUUAAAUAAGAUAUGUUAUAUAUACAAAUAAUACGCAACUACAAGCAUUUAUCCAAAGCUAUCAUAAUAGUUCACAAUCUCAGUAUAUAAGCUCAAUCUAAAGGUAAGGUAAGUCUAGCCUGCCUGAACGCCAAAAUUAAAAAUAUCUUUCCGUAAAACCUCUGAAUAAUGUCACUAGAACCCAAACUUGAAUACAUAAAAUCAAAAUAUUUCGUAUGAACUCUCACAUUUCUAACACAAUUACAUAUAAUUUAUAGUGAUUUGAAAUUAAUCCCGGUAAAAUAAGGAAAUACCCCAAAUUAGCCACUAGUAAUAUAUAUAUAGAGAGAGGUAUACACCGACAAAAGUACAUAAUGUUUGUUUGAAUUAUAUUUCGAUACACAUGUAAGAAAAUUACACAUAUAAGACUUAAUGUUUGCCAUGUGUGUGACUACUCAAGGUUGUGCACUACACUUAGACUUCCACGUGGAGAGGUGUACCAACCCUUCUCCUUACUCUCCCCUAUAUUUAUACUCAGGCAUUGCAUAAGUUCAUGAAAAAAUAAUUAUAAUAUUUUAAAUAUAUUAUAAUUAAUAGAAAAAUAUUUUAUAUAAAAUCUCUAUUAUAUAAUAAUAAUAUGUUAAUAUUUCUAGAUUUAUUAUUUUCACUUAAAAUAUUAAUAGACCACUAAAGAGCGAUUAUAAAUAAUAUAAAUAGAGCAUAAAGUAAUAAACUUUAUUAAUGUCAAAAAUAUUUUAGAAGGGUACUAAAUUAUAUUUUUACCAAAUGACAAUUUAAAUCAAAUAUUUCAUAAUAUAUUAAAUAUUACUAAAAUUCUGAAACAAACUGCAUCGGAACUGAACUAUCAGUCCCAGCAAGUCAAAAAUAAUUUGGGAAAGUUAUAGAAAAUAUAUGGAUACCGAAAAUGUAUUAAAAUAUAGAAAAAUGACCGUGAGGGUCAUUACAACAUCCACUACUAAACGGACUUUCGUCUGCGACAGUAAAGCAUAAGGGCAUACCUAAUGGCUCAAACAAAUAGGGAUACUGACCGCGCAUAUCAAGCUUAGGGGGGAAGGCCAGAUAGGCCUGUCAAAAAUAUAUCAAAAAUCUUGCAAACCACAGGGAUGGAGUCAAGCGAUAGAAUCUCAGCACUGACAUCCAAAACAUAAGCAAGAAAUGAGUUAUAACCCCUCGAUAUCAGCCUCCUAGCUUGAUUGCAGGAAAUAAUUCCCAUCGUUGCGUGACACCGCCUGCCACACCACCAGGGGUAUGCCAAGCUAGGCUGAAGUAAUGGUCCUAACAAAAUAAUCGAAGAUCACAUGAUAAGGAGAUAACUAAUCCAUGCAUAUAAUCACAUCGAAAUCUACCAUAUCUAGGACAAUGAGAUCAACCUGAGUAUGAAACUUCCGAAUGGUCACCAAACACGAUCUAUAUACCUGAUCCACUACUAAAGAAUCACCCACAGGGAUGGCUAUAUACAAUGGAACAGAUAAAGACUCCAAAUAUGAACCCGACUGCGAUGCAAAAUAAGCAGAAACAUAUGAAAAUGUGGAAUCAAGAUCAAUCAAAGCAGAAGCUAGUUGAUAGAAUACAGAAAUUAUAUCUGUGAUCACAAUAUCCAAAGCCUCAGCCUCAGAUCUACCUGGUACAACACAUAAAUGACCAUGUCCACUAUUGGAUUGGAUGCCUGCUCGACCACCUAUCCUACCUCCAUGCGGGCCACCUCUAAAACCCUGGGGACCAUCCCCAUGACCUUGCGCACCACUUCUACCUAAUUACGGCACUGAUCCAACCGACUGUGUGGUUAAAAUAAAAAGUUCAACCAUUAUACGCUUAGGAAACUCAUGAUCGAGGCAACUCAUAAAUCUACAGUCAUAACAUGCCUCAGGCACCAUGCUCUAUCCUUUCCCUGCCUCUAGGUCGACCUCGACCCAUAGUUGAAACUCUAAAAGUAGACCUGAGGUCCCAAUCCCCAGCUCUCGAACCUCGCAUCCUAGACAUAUUCGUAAAAAGUGCACCAAUAAAAAUUACAACCAACUCAGACCUAACACACAAAAAUGGAUCAACAAAAUGAGAGUUUUGUUUCUUCCUAAAUAUACUAUGUAGCCUCCCAAAGAUAGGAUACAAGUAUCUCCGUAUCGAUCCGCAGGACUUUACUAAACAUUGGCUCUAGUACCUACAGUAACGGUGAAACCUAGGCUCUGAUACCAAGCUGUCACGACCCAAUUUCUCAAGUUGAAAUGGCGCCUACCUUAUCCCCCCAGUAGGCAAGCCAAGACAUAGCCCAGAAUAAUAUAUAACGAGCUAAUAGGCAGAAAUCAGAAAAGAUCACUUAUAAUAAUAGCAAUAGUAAUAACAAGUAAUAAACAAAAAGUAAACAUGUCUCAUAUACUAAAAUAAGGGAAGAAAACUGACCAAAUACACAAAAGAAUCCCUCCCAAGACCUGGUAAGGUUGAAACUAGAGCUAAUACUAAAAUAUACCCAGAGUAUUAGAGUGAAUCCAAAAUACACCAAAUAUAUAUAAGCCAUCUCGAGUAUAAAAGACUAAACUAGAGUAUAUAGAGAAAGGUCAGCCUUGGAUAACAGUAAGCUCACCCUGCUCCGAAUCAGUACUGGAAGGUAGGAAUCACGUCAAUGUCGGCUGCUACUACUCAGAUCUGCAUCAGGGAAAAGAUUCAGAAGUGUAGUAUGAGUACCAAAUCAAUGUGUACUCAUUAGGAAUCAUCGACUGGCUAAGGUCAAUACAAAAACGGUAUAACUACAAUGAAGGGAUUUAAUCUUAGUCAACAGUAAAAAGGGACAGAAAGGUAAACAACUGCCAAGCUACGCCAAUGAGAUAAAGGAAUAAAUGUAAGGGAUGCAGAAAAAUAGCGCAAUAAUUACAGAUAAAUCAAACAUAAACUAACUGGGCCCCCAAAAUCCCGCUAGGCACACAAAUAUAACAUAAUUGGUCCCCCAUAAGCUCGCUAUGCACACUGAAUAAAAUAAUUAACCCAACUGCAUCCCCAUAGCCCAAUGGGACACAUAAGUACAAAUUAAAGAAAAUAAACGUAAAUAAUCUGUAACUGAGCCAAUCCCAAGAAAUCAUGAUAGUCAUCUAGAUGUGCAUCAGACUUGAAUCGACACCAAUAUGUAGUAAUAAGAGGCCAGAUACCGGACUCAAACUGGUAGUGAUGAAUUAUAACAAGAGAACAUAUGCCGAAUUCAAACUAGACAUAGUGGGUAAUAACGAUUGGCCACAUAUAUAAUAUACACCAGAACUCAUAAUCAGAUGCCGGACUCGAACCGAAACUCAAAGACACCACAUCUAUAUCAAAUGCCGGACUCAAAUCGGAACUCAAAGGAACUAACACUAUAAUCAGAUACUAAACUGGAACCAAAACUCAUAGGAACCACAAUAAUCAAAUGUUAGACUCGAACCAGAACUCAUAGUAGCCAUAAUAAUCAUAUGCCGGACUCAAACUAGAACUAGUAGUUACCAUACCCAAUUGUAAUAUUAAAAUCCAUACCAUACCAUAACAAUGUCAAUGUGGUACAAAAGUUCACAAUCAAUGACAAAAAUAAAGUAUAUAUUAAACCUGAACAGAAGUUAAAAUACGUCUAAUUACCGUAUGCAUGUCUUAAUUCUAAAAAGGCAAAUAUAAGAUUUUGCAAUUUAAUUCCACGUCCUAAAGUGAUAGAUACUAUAUUAUAUUGAAUGAAAAAUACCAAAAUCUACUAGAACGAGGUUCUAAUGCGGAUAAAUAAAACAUGUUAUAUAUAUCAAAUGAUGCUCAACUACAAGCACUUAUCAAAAGAUAUCAUAAUAGUUCACAAUUUUAGUAUACAAGCUCAAUCUAAAGGUAAGGUAAUCCUAGCCUACCUGAAUGCCAAAGAUAAAAAUAUCUUUCCGUGAAGCCUCCGAAGAGUGUCACUAAAACCCGAGCUUGAAUACAUAAAAUCAAAAUUUUUCGUAUGAACUCUCAUAUUUUUAACACAAUUACAUAUAAUUUAUAGUGAUUUGAAAUUCAUCCCAGUAAAGUAAGGAAAUCCCCCAAAUUAGCCACUAGUAUUCUAUAUAUAUGUAUGUAUAUAGGGACAAAAGCAUAUAAUGUUUAUUUGAAUUAUAUUUUGAUACACAUGUGUGAUACCCCGUAUUCUUUCUAUUUAAAUUCAGCAUAAAAAAGGCACAUUAGAGACUUAGGACCUGAAAUUGUUUCCAAGUGUUGAAGACUUAGUCUCACUUUUGGCCGCUAAACUUUGACGACUUUAUUCUUGAGCUUUACGAUCUUGGAAUGUUGAUUUCUAAGUUUUUUCAUGAUCAGGGUAGUCCAUAGUACCUCUGAGGUGAGUUUCAGAAUUUUUGGAGAAGGAUUGGGGCAUGUUUGGUUGGCCAAAACAGAAGCUUGAUGCAAUAUCGCUGCACCACAUCAAUGGCCACGUCGAUGUAGAUGACGCAAUGUGUUGCUAAUCGCGUUGCAGUGAGUGACACAAUGAGUUGCUGAUCACGUCGGUGCCCAAUUUUUGUAUGUGAAAUGACGGGUUAUGGGGGUAUUUGAGUCAUUUACCCUCACCCAAAUUCGCCCAAAACACUCAAUUUUAUCCCCAAAUAACAUAGAUGGUUCAUUAUUCAUUUUUUCUCCAAGAACAAAACCCUAGAUCCAAGAAUCAAGAACAAUCCCAUAACUCCUACUCCAAGAAAGCUUAUAAUCUAAAGUUUUGGGUUCAAGGACUUCAAUAAGAACCUCCCUACUAGUAAAGCUUUACAGAAUAGUUUUUAAAAGAAUUCCCUAUAGAAUAGAGUAAUUGUAAUAGAAAAGAACAAAAGAAAAGCUCUUAGAAACUAAGUGUAAAGGCUCAUGAUUUUAAUCAGAUAUUGUUUUGCAUAAGUCAUCAGCUAUGAGAUUUCAGCUUUUAGUUUAUAGAUACAAAGGUGAGUCCCUUUACACUUAACUUAAAUGAUUUAAAAUGGACUUGACUUCAGUUCUACUUAUUUCACUAGCAGGAAGAGUAAAAGUACAGCUUUCAGAACUAAAUAUUAUGACUCACUGAUUUAUGCAGUAUGUUUUGCUAUCCAUGGUUAUGAUUUUUUUAGUUUUUAGAUAUUCCAACUUAUGUGAGUCAUCUUCAUUUAGCAUGUAUAUUUUAUGGAGUUUUAUAACAUUUAGAUAUUAUUUUUACUUAUGCAUUCACCCCCACAUGCUCAGUUCAUUUCAAAAGUACUGAUCCACAUAUAUGUCUAUGUGCUACAUUAUCUCAUAAUGUAGGUUCAGGUGCUUAAUUUUAGCAACGUGAUUGAACGUGACCAUCUCCAUCUUCAUCCCGACAAUGGUGAGUCCUCAUAGUUUGGGGACCCAGUUAUUCAGAUUUCCAACUUUUUAGCUUAGUUUAUUAGUUAUGUUAGACAGUUCGAGUCAAUUGGGGGUCUGUCCCAGCGACUCUCUAGUAGUAGCAUUAGAGGCUUGUGUGAAUGUUAAAUAAAUUGCAGUUUUUCAGUGUUAGUUCUUUAGAUUUUUUCUUAGUUAAGUACUUUCAGACAUUUCAUACAGUUAAACUUAGUUCAGCUAUUAUUUUAGUAUUUUAGUGUACUACAUGCUUAUAUUACCUUUAUUUGAGUCAUCAGAAUGAGUAGCAGGUUUUCAAGGUAAGCUCGGGACUAUUUGUAGUUCGGAGCACUAUGUAGAAUCUCGGGACUCAUUUUCAAAGCAUUAAAAACUUGGUAUCAGAGCCUAAGGUUAUAUGAGUUCUAGGGAGUCAGACAAGCCACGUUACGUAGGCUCUUGAUUAUGGGUGUGAAGCGCACCACAUUUACGAGCAAGAGGCUAAAAGAUGUUUUUAGAAAAUCAUCUCUUUCUUUCAUGAUCUAUCAUGCUUAUAGUGUCUCUAUAUGCUUUUAUCUUGUACUCUUACAUAACAGUUGAAAAUGCCUCCUCGCCGAGCUAAUGUACACAAAAAUGAUAAUUAGCUACCUCAGCCUGCUAACUCUCUGAAUGAGAAUGUAUCCCAUACUGAAUUUUGGGCUGCCUUUUAGGCAUUGGCCUAAGCUGUUACUGCUAAUAUUCAGGGAAACCAUCAGGCGACAGUCCCACUUUAGCAGAAUGGGGAUUUAGCAACAGCCAGAAUUCAUGACUUCAUGAGGAUGAAUUAGCCUGAGUUUUUGGGGUCAAAGACAGGUGAGGACCCGCAACUUUACUUAGAUGAGGUGAGAAAGAUCACCCAAAUUAUGCAUGUUACUAAAGAGGAGAGUGUAGAGUUGACAUCCUAUAGGCUGAAGGAUAUAGCGUAUGAUUGGGUGGUUAUGUGGAAGAAUAAUAGAGGUGAGAAUGCAGCUCCUUUGAGUUGGCAGGUGUUCCAGGAUGAGUUUCUAGACAGGUUCUUUCCACGUGAAAUGAGAGAAGCUAAGGAAGAAGAGUUUGUGAACCUGAGGCAGGGCUCGAUGACAGUGAAGGAGUACUACCUUAAGUUCAAUUAGUUAUCUAAGUAUGCCCCUAAUACGAUGGUAGACCCUAUGUCUAUUAUUAGUAAGUUUGUUACUGGAGUAUCUGGUUUGGUAGUCAAGAAGUGUAGGACUACCAUGCUUAUUGGGGAUAUGGAUCUUGCUAGACUGAUGAUUCAUACACAACAACUUGAGAAAGAAAAGUUAAUAAAGAGAGAGAGGGGAAAUUAGAAGGCUAGAACCGAGCAGUUUGAUUAUGGCUAGACUAAGUUUGGAGAGGAAAAUCGUUCCCAAUUUUAGAGUCAUUCGUCUAUGCCAACGCCUUCUUCAGCUAGUGCUCCCUCCCCUGGACUAUGUAGGAGCAGUGGGGUAAGAUUUCUAUGUCCAGAUCUUAGAAUAGUAUGAGUGGAAAAUCCAGUUAUCCUCCAUGUGCUAAGUGUGGUAAGAAUCAUCUUAGUGAGUGCUAUUUGGGACAAAAAGGCUGUUAUAGUUGUGGUAAGUUGUGUCAUGAAAUCAAAGAGUGUCCGUAUGCUAGUAGGGAAAUAGGGAUGCUCAUCCCCAGACUCAGCCUACUAGUGCACCAACUCCUCUAGGCUGUCCAGUAGCUCCUCAGAUCACAUCAUCCAGUACCAGUAGCGAUCAGUGCCAGAACAAUUUUUAUGCUUUACCAUCCCAUCAAGAGAAGGAAAGUUUGCUCGAUGUUAUUAUUGGUAUACUUCAUGUCUUUCAUCUUGAUGUUUAUGUGUUAUAGAUCCCAGGUCGAGUUUCUCUUACGUAACCCCACUAGUUGCAGUAAAUUUUGAAGUAGGUCUUGAAAGUUUUCUGAGCCCUUCUUGGUUUUUUCCCUAAUGGGUGAGUCAGUUGUUGCCAAAUAGAUCUAUAGAAAGUGUCCUAUCAAUGUCCUUCAUAAGAUCAUGUUAGCAGACUUAAUAGAGUUAGAUGUGGUCAACUUUGACCUUAUUCUUGGUAUGGAUUAGCUCUAUUCCUAUUAUGCAUCUAUAGAUUGUCGUACCCGAGUGGUGAAGUUUCAAUUUUUGAUGAGCUAAUUUUUGAAUGGAAAGGUAAUUCAGUGUCUCCCAAAAGUCAUUUUAUAUCCUAUCAUAAGGCCAGAAAGUUGAUCUCAAAAGGGUGCAUCUAUCAUCUAGUUAUACUUAAAGACACUAGGACUAAGGCUCCAAUAGUUCAGUCGGUCCAUGUAGUCAAUGAGUUUCUUGAAGUUUUUCUCACAGAUUUGCCAGGGGUACCUCCCGAUAGGGAAAUACAAUUCGGUAUUGACCUCUUCCUAGAUACUCAGCCUAUCUCUAUUCCUCCAUAUCGUAUGGCUCCAGCCGAGCUUAAAAAAUUAAAAGAGAAGCUUAAGACCUCUUAGAUAAGGUUUCAUAAGGCCUAGUAUCCCUCUACGGGGCACUCCCAUCCUAUUCAUACGAAAGAAAGAUGGUUCUUUGCGAAUAUGCAUUGACUAUAGUCAGCUGAAUAAAGUCAUAAUAAAGAACAAGUAUCCUUUUUCUAGGAUUGAUGACUUAUUUGAUUAACUCCAAGGUGCAAGUUACUUCUCCAAUAUAGACCUUACAUCCGGCUAUCAUCAGCUUAGAGUAAGGGAAUAUGAUAUUCUAAAGACAACUUUUAGAACCCAUUAUAGUCUUUUUGAAUUUUUAGUCAUGUACUUUAGACUAAAAAAUACCCCAGCAACCUUCACAGACUUAAUGAACAGAGUGUUCAAACAGUACCUAGACACGUUUGUCAUAGUCUUUAUCUGUAAUAUCCCGUAUUUUCCUGCUAGAAUUCUAACUGUCAUUCCUGCGCGUCUAAGCUCUAAUCCAAGUGAUUCUCACAUAAAUACAAGUUUCAUGAUCAUUAUCCUAGUCUAUGGAGUAGUUUAGAGGUGGAAAAUGUUUAUAGCAAUGACCUAGAACAAGGUUGAGCUAAGACUAAUUGAUUCAUCCAAAGUUUGACAUUUGAUUCUACAAGGGUCAACUUCAAACGUGAAUAUCUCUUAAUAUACAUGAAUUUUCAUCCCAAGACCUAUCAAAUUAUAGAUAAUUGAAUUAACUUUCCAACGAUACCAAUUUCAUCAAAAUUCGACACCCGAGUAAGGAGUUAUGGCUUUACGAAGUAGAGUACGUCGCCUAACUAAUUGCACAUGGCUACUGGAAUAGGUGUGCAAUAAGCAAUGUGACGCAUACUUAAAUAUGUGCGAUAAGCAAUGCGGCGCUUACUUAAAUAUGUGCGAUAAGCAAUGCGGCGCAUACUUAAAUUUGUGCGAUAAGCAAUGCGGCGUAUACUUAAAUGUGUGCGAUAAGCAAUACAGUGCAUACUUAAAUGUAUGCGAUAAGCAAUGAGCCGCAUACCUCACUUCCAAGUGCCAAAAACACCCCUAUAUAUGUCUAUAACAUGGGAUUAAACUCCCAUAACACCAAAAUAAGUUUACUUUCUCUCAAAUCACCAAGAACAUUCAUUAGGGUUUCAACCUAAAAAUUCAAAUAUCUCAACAUUCAACUAUGAGUUUUCAAUAAUUCUUCGAGAUUUGAAAUCCUCAUUCCGAGGGCUACAAGAAACACUCAUUAUUUUUACGAAUAGAGUCCCAAGGUCAAGAGUUGAUUCAAAUCUUCAAGUUUAAGGUAUGUGGAGUUUUUCAACAAGAACAUCCUUUCAUUUUUGUGCCCAAAAUUUAUAUUAUUUUACAUAUAUAUAUAUAUAUAUAUAUAUAUGAUUUUACAUGCUUUGAUAUGAAUUUAAGAUAGAAACUAUUAUCCUACAUUCUUGUUCAAAAGACUAUUAUAUUUUUAUGAUGCCUUGAAGAUAAAUUCCUUGAGUUUUGAUGUUAAUAGCAUGUUUGAAGUUGAAUCUCCAGAUUUUCAUAUAUAUAAUGUGGUAUGCACACCUUAAGAUUUGAAUGAUUUGACUUUUUGGUCUUGAAAGAGUUAUUUUUGAACUCGAAUGAGAAAAGAAAUCCACAUUUUGAUUUAUUAUGAAAAAAGGGUAGCAUGAUGGCUGCCGUGGUGAAUUGCUGAUUUAUUUUAUGGCUGAUUUUCUUUGAAAAGAUCUGAGCUAAGUCUGGGAGUAUUCUUUAGCACCGAGUGGGAGGUAUAGUUGUGCUGGUACUUUCCUAGAACUACGUGCCCCCUAGGAGCCGGAAUUGAGGUUGAUUAUAUAUAGUGAUCACUAGUUUUUGGAUUUGAUACUUAUAGUCCUACUCCAAUGGCAAGGAUAGGAGGAUUCUCCCUAACGUGGGUUGUACGUUGGACUCUAUGUGGCUCACAUGGUUUAUGUCGGUUGUAAGAGACUCCCAAUGUGUGUAUGUGUAUUCUCCUAUCUAAUAUGAAAAGUGUUAUUCUUCUAUCUGAGAUAAAAACAUAUUUGUUUGAAAGACUGAGUUUGAGAAAGUCAUUGUUUUCGAAAGAUUUAAUGAACAUAUAUUCCAAAGAGAAUUGUUAUGAGAUUUGAUUACUUUGAUGAUUUGGAAUCGAGAUGGAAGUGAAUUGAGAUUUAUUAUGAUGACUCACAUGUUUCACCCGAUAUAUUUUACUCUCUUAUGAUUAUGAUGAUUUUAAUUCAAGCUAAUUGAGUCAUUUAUAUCAGCAUGCAUAAUUUUAUAAACUGUGAUGAUAUUAAGAUAUUAUUUUAUAUAUGCAUUGCACCCCCAUAUGAUUGGUACGUUUCCAUGGUACUGACCCACAUAUUUGUAUGUGGGCUACAUUUUCUCAGAAUGUAGGUACAAGGUAUAGUUUACAUCUUCAGAUCCAGUCAGUUCGCGACAUUUUGAUUCAAGGGCUUGAGUUAGUUAUACAUUUCGAGAAGUGUUGUAUUUUCCUUAUCCAUCCGUAUUGAGUUGGGAUAGUCAGGAGUCAUGACCUAGCUACCUACAAUCAGUACUAGUAGAGGCUUCAUAGACAGUCAGUAGAAGUUGAUGUAUUCCGUUUCAGUUUUGAUUGUAAAAGCAGAGUUGUAAUCUUAUAAAUUUAGUUUUGUAUCUAUUAUAUUUAGAAAAGAGUUAUUUUUCGCAGAUUUGUAUAGAUUUAUACUUUUUGUUCAGUUGCUUAUGAUUUAUGCCAGUAGAAGGGUUAGCUUGGGGUCACUUGUGAUCCUAAGUACCGUGUGACGUCUCGGGACCCGAUUUUGAGGCGUUACAUUAUCAAUAAUAUUUUCGUCUAUUCUCGUAGUGAGGAUGAUCACGCAGACCAUCUUAGAAUUAGGUUGCAAACUCUUAGAGAUUACUAAUUGUUUGCCAAAUUCAGCAAAUGUGAAUUUUGGCUAAGGUCAGUAGUUUUCCUUGUUCAUAUUAUUUCCAGUGAGGGCAUUAGAAUUGAUCCCAAAAAGAAAGAAGCAGUAAGAAACUGACCUAAACGUAUCUCUCCAUCCUCCAUUAGAAGUUUCUUAGGUUUAACUGGCUAUUACAGAUGAUUUAUUGAAGGGUUUUCGUCCAUUUAAUCCCCUAUGUCUAGAUUAACUCAGAAGAAAGUUAAGUUCCAGUGGUCAGAUUCCUAUGAGAAGAGUUUUCAAGAGUUGAAGACUCAACUCACUUCGGGUUCAGUUUUAACACUACCUGAUGGUACAGAUAAAUUUAUUGUAUAUUAUAAUACUUCCAGGAUCGGUCUGCGUUGUGUUUUGAUGUAUAGAGGUAAGGUUAUAGCCUUUACCUCUAGAAAACUUAAGCCUUACAAAAAUAAUUACCCUACCCAUGACCUUGAGUUAGCUGUUGUUGUACUUGCCUUGAAAAUAUUGAGGUACUAUCUUUAUGGGAUGCAUGUUGAUGUGUUUAAGGACCACAAAAGCUUACAGUAUGGGUUUACCCAGAGAGAGUUAAAUAUUUGUCAGAGAAGAUGGUUAGAAUUAUUGAAAGAUUAUAACAUGAGUAUGUUAUAUCAUCCGGGUAAGGCUAAUGUUAUGGAAGAUGACCUUAGUCGACUUUUUGUAGACAGCGUUUCUCAUGUGGAGAAUGAUAAAAGAGAACUAGUUUGGGAAGUUCACCGAUUAGCUAGAUUGAGUGUGAGGUUGGUUGACUCAGCUGAAGGGAAUGUUUGGUUUUAGAGUAGUUCAGAAUCUUCUCUAGUUUCUGAAGUGAAAGAGAAGCAGGGCAGGGAUUCUAGUUUGGUCAAACUGAAGGGGUCAAUUAAAGACCAAAAGGUAGAGGUUUUCUCCUAAGAGGGAGAUGUUGUGUUAAGAUACUAAAGUAGAUUGUGUGUGCCAUGUGUUGAUGAUUUGAGGCAGUGAAUUAUGAUAGAAUCGCAUGGUGCGCGUUACUCCAUUUAUCCAGGAGCCACCAAGAUGUACCACGACUUGUGGGAAGUAUAUUAGUGAAGCGGUAUGAAGAGAGGUAUCACAAAAUUUUUAGCCAAGUGUGAGACUUGUCCAUAGGUUAAGGUAGAUCACCAAAGACCUGGUGACAUAUUGCAGGAGUUUAGUAUUCCCAUUUGGAAGUGGGAAGAGGUGAAUAUGGACUUUGUGACUGGAUUGUCCCAUUCACGUCGGCUGCAUGAUUCGAAUUGGGUUAUAGUAGAUAGAUUGACCAAAUUAGCUUAUUUCUUGCCAGUUCACACGUCCUACACAGCUGAAGAUUACGCUAAGCUGUAUAUCAGAGAGUUGGUCAGAUUGCAUAAAAUUUCUUUGUCUAUUAUCUCACAUAGGGGUACUUAGUUUACCUCUCAGUUUUGGAAAUCCUUUCAGAAGGGUCUUCGUACCCAAGUUCAUCUUAGUUCAGCUUUUUACCCGCAGACAGAUGGUCAGGCAAAAGGACCAUUCAGACCUUAGAGGAUAUGUUAAGGGCAUGCGUUCUUAAUUUCAAAGGUAGUUGGGAUGACCACUUACCGUUGAUUGAGUUUUCCUAUAACACCAGUUACCAUUCUAGUAUUCAGAUGGCCCCGUUUGAAGCUCUAUAUGGGCGAAGAUGUAGGUCACCAGUCGGUUGGUUUGAAGUGGGUAAGGCCAUUUUGAUUGGUCCAGAUAUGGUGUUUGAAGCUAUGGAGAAAUUUUAGUCUUUUCAAAAGAGAUUGAAAGCGACUCAGAGUCAUCAAAAAUCUUAUGCAUACGUAAAAAGGAGAGAUCUUGAGUUGAGAUUGAUGAUCUUGUUUAUUUGAAGGUUUCACCCAUGAAGGGGGUAAAGAGAUUUGGCAAAAAAAGGGAAGAUUAUUCCCUGGUAUGUAGGUCCCUACAGGAUUUUGAGUCGUGUGAUGAAGGUAGCGUAUGAGCUUGAGCUACCCACAGACUUAUCAUCAGUUCACUCAGUAUUCUAUGUAUCCUUAUUGAAAAAGUGCAUGGGAGAUUCAGCGGUUAUAGUCCCUCUAGAAAGCACAGAUAUUCAAAAUAGAAUCUCGUACGAAGAACUUCCAGUAGAUCACCAAAUUCGUAGACUAAGGAUCAAACAAUUUCCCUUGGUCAAAGUUCUGUGGAUAAAUCAGUCUGUUCAGGGUGCCACUUGGGAAGCAGAAGUAGACAUGAGAACGAAGUACCCUCACCUAUUCUCCACAAACUCAGAUUCAGCCGAAGGUAACAAUCUUUCUUAAUUCAGUUCAUUUCUAGUCUCAGUUUCAUCCAUAUGGUUAUCUUUAAGUCAAUUCAUGCACUCACAGAUUGGUUCAGUAGCUCAUCAUGUUUUAGAUUCAGUCGUACAUUUUUGGUUUCAGUUGUGCAUGCAGUAUAUAGUCUCAGUUCUCCAGUAUCAUCAUUUUAACUAGUCUCAUUCGAGGAUGAAUGUUAUCAAGGGGGAGAUAUUGUAAUACCACGUAUUCUUUCUAGUUCAAUUCUGCUUAAAAGAGGCACAUUAGAGACUUAUGACCUGAAAUUUUAGCUAAGUGUUGAAGACUUAGUCUCACUUUUGGCCUCUAAAUUUUGACGAAUUUAUUCUCGACCUUUCCAAUCUUGGAAUGCCAAUUUCUAAUUUGUUUCAUGAUCAGGGUAUUCCAUAGUACCUCCGGGGUGAGUUUCAAAAUUUUCAGAAAAGGAUUGGGGCAUGUUUGGUUGGCCAAAACAGAAACUCAAUGCGAUAUCGCCGUGCUGCAUCGAUUUAGACGAUGCGACUCAUCGCUAAUCGUAUCGCAGUGAGUGACGCGAUGCGUUGCUGAUUGCAUCGGUGCCUAAUUUUUGUGUGUUAAAUAAUGGGUUAUGAGGGGUAUUUGAGUCAUUUACCCUCACCCAAAUUCACCCAAAACACACAAUUUUAGCUCCAAAUAGCAUAGAUGCUUCAUUAUUCAUCUUUUUCUUCUCCAAGAACAAAACCCUAGCUCCAAGAUUCAAGAACAAUCCCGUAACUCUUACUCCAAGAAAGCUUAUAAUCCAAAGUUCUGGGUUCAAGAACUUCAAGAAGAACCUCCCUAAUAGUAAAGCUUUACAGAACAAUUUUUAAAAGAAUCCCCUCCAGAACAGAGUAAUUGUAAUAGAAAAGAACAACAGGAAAGCUUUUAGAAACUAAGUGUAAUGGCUCACAAUUUUAAUCAGAUAUUGUUUUUCAUAAGUCAUUAGCUAUGAGAUUUCAGCUUUUAGUUUACAGAUACAAAGGUGAGUCCCUUUACACUUAACUUAAAUGAUUUGAAAAUGGACUUGACUUCAGUCCUACUUAUUUCACUAGCAGAAAGAGUAAAAGUACAGCUUUCAGAAUUAAAUGUUAUGACUCACUAGAUUUAUGCAGUAUGUUUUGUCAUCCAUGGUUAUUUUUUUUUAGUUUUCAGAUAUUUUAGCUUAUGUGAGUCAUCUACAUUUAGCAUGCAUAUUUUGUGGAGUUUGAUAACAUUGAAAUAUUAUUUCUACUUAUACAUUCACGCCCACAUGCUCAAUACAUUUCAAAAGUACUGAUCCAUAUAUUUGUUUAUGUGCUACAUUGCCUCAUAAUGUAGGUUCAGGUGCUCAAUUCCUGCAGCGUGAUUGACUGUGAGCAUCUCUAUCUACAUCCCGACAGUGGUGAGUCCUCAUAGUUUGAGGAUCCAGUUAUUCAUAUUUCCAGCUUAGAUUAUUUAGUUAUGUCAGAUAGUUCGAGUCAGCUGAGGGUCUGUCCCAGCGACUCUCUAGUAGUAGCAUUAGAGGCUUGUCCGACUAUUAGAUACAUUACCGUUUUUUAGUGUUAGAGAUUUUUUCAUAGUUAAGUACUUUCAGACAUUUCAUGCAGUUAAACUCAAUUCAGUUCUGACAGUAUUUCAGUAUUUUAGUGUACCGCAUGCUUAUAUUAUCUUUAUUUGAGUCAUCAGAAUGAGUAGCUGGCUUUCAGGGUUAGCUCGGGACUACUUGUAAUCCAGAGCACCAUAUAGCAUCCCGCGACUCGUUUUCGAGGCAUCACACAUGUAAGAAAAUUACACAUAUAAGACUUAAUGUUUGCUGUGUGUGACCAAUUAAGGUUGUGCACUACGCUUGACUUCCACGUGGAGAGGUGUACCAACCCUUCUCCUUACUCUCCGCUAUAUUUACACUCGGGUAUUGCAUAAGUUUGUGAUAAAAUAAUUAUAAUAAUUUGAAUAUAUAUCACAAUUAAUAGAAAAUAUUUCUAAUAGAUCUUCUAUUAUAUAAUAAUAAUAUUUUAACAUUUUUAGAUUUAUUAUCUUCGCUUAUAUUAUUAAUAAACCACUAAAGAACGAGUAUAAGUAAUAUAAAUAUUGUAUAAAGUAAUAAACUUUAUCAAUAUCAAAAAUAUUUUAGAAGGGUACUAAAUUAUAAUUUUACCAAAUGACAAUUUAAAUCAAAUAUUCCACAAUAUAUUUAAUAUUACUAAAAUUAUGAAACGAACCGCUUGAAAACCGAACUAUCAGUUCCAGCAAAUCAUAAAUAACUUGGGACAGCUAUAGAAAAUCUCUCAAUACCAAAAAUAUAUUAAAAUACAAAAAAAUGACCGUGAGGGUCAUUACAGGAUUAUACUUCUGAAGUGAUUCAUUAUUUUGGUUUAACCUUGAUAUAAAACUUGCAGCAGGUUUUUAUUAUUAAAAUCUUCUGAUACUUCCGUUAUACCAUCUUGAUGAAGUCACCUACAUAAGGAAAAAGUUUUAUUGUUCAUAAUUCUGCAUGUUUCUUUUUGCUAAUAACCAGGACAAGUCAUGGCACGUUCGACACAUGGUUUCUAAUUAGUUGUACGAAUUCUAUCGGAUUCCUAGUCCUAAGCUUGCUAUUCAGCAUAUUCUAAGCUAAACUUGACAACAUACUACUUUUUUUAAAAAAAAAAAAUAAUAAAAAGUUACAAUUUAUAUAAAUUAUAACUUUUUAUUACAAUACACUAGUUUUAUAUUUAUUUUUUUUGUGUAAAACGUAAGAAUUUCUUACGUUGUACAAAAUAUUUUAUAAAACGUAAGAAAUUCUUACGUUUUACAAAAAAAAAAUUACUAUAGAUUUUCGUUAAAGCACCGUUAGAAAAACAGGUAAAAUACAAUAAAUUAUUACGUUUAGCUUAUUUUGGUAACUUAUUGGAGAGGUAACUUAUUUUGGUCACUUUAUCCAUAUCUUGGCUUAUUUUGGUUUCGAGUUUGUAAAGAUAUUUUAUUGCUUAAAAGUUAAGGAUGACCUAAAUAAGAUCCUUUUCAAUGGGGGAGGUGGUAUCGAUUUUUAGAGUACAAAAGUUGUCAUGACCAAUAAAUGAUUGCCACCCGUCCAAUGUCGUUGGGGAGCAAUGUGUCCACUAGCGUGUGUCAACGCGGCUCUGUCGAGGGCAACUGGUGUUUUCUAGAAUCCUUGACAUAUUGUCCUUUCAUUUGUACAUUAGUAUGUACUCACCAUCCCUAGCUAGUCUCAAACGCCCUCACCUUUCACUCAAGUGUACGCUCCAGCGCAUUGAUAUCGUCUCCGAGAUGGUGCCAUUAUGAGCCGACUUCACUCACCUGGCAAAAAAUGACUCAAUCGGACCAAUCAACCCAAACACACCCUAUGCCAGUUUUACUACAUACAAAUAGUCCCUCAAUCUUACGGGUGCAACAUUCAUUGCGGUUGGAAGACAGAACAAAUUUCUAAAGCGCCUUCUACAUUUCAUCUCCCCGAUUCAUUCCUUUUUUAUGAAAUAUCACAUUAUUUGAACCUUUAAAGCUUCCACCUUUCAAGUGAUGUCUCUCCUUUUUACACGCGUACUUCAGAGAUAAGGCGAUGUUUUCCUUGGGGAUUGUACUGAUCGUGACGUUUCAUAAUUGAGUUACAAUUCGUCUCUCUUUAUGGUGCCUGCACAUAUCAAAUGUAUUUAUCAAAAACUUCCUACUUACCUUUUUUUCCUUCUAUCAGACCUUCUCUCAAAAAAGAAAAAUUCUCCAGGACGCUCCUAACUAUAAUUUACCCCCCUCACAUAUUGCUGUCAUGUCUCACUCUUUAAGUUCUCAUCUUCUUCCUUCAACUUCAAAUAGUUUGUCUAGUGUCCAAAAAGAUGGCGGGUUCCCUUUUGACUCCACUAUGGAGAAAAUACCACUAAUGAUUUUGAGGCUCCUUUAAGAAAGAAAAGGAUACCAGGACCGUUGAGGGGAUUUCUUUUGUGGUUUAUUUGUCAUAUAUCUACUCUGUUCGUUCGACGUACUGAUGGUCCCCUAAUUUCAAUACUAAAGUUCCUUAUAUCAUGGAGAGGGUCGCUACCCAUAGACCUGACUUUAUUUUCAUGUACACGUUGUCGUUUUUCUUGGGAUUGGGUGAUCCCAUAGAUGACGGUUUCAUUUCAUUUGGCCCCACUUUCCAGCUAAGCUUGGGGCAACUUAGUUCUUGCCUAUAGAAAUUUGUUGCCUGCCUCAUGAUCCUGGCUAACUUAUCUGGCGCGUAGUUCACAUUCGCGAACCUCAUCUUGCUUUUUCUUCGAGGUUAACUCGAGAGGGUUUAGUAGAACCAGAGCCCACAACCCAUGUCCAUUCUAGGCUACUUGAGCGACUCCCCAGAAGUUUUGUGGUCGUUUCUACUGAGGAGUUGCCUGGAGUGACAAUCACUUUUACUUGGAAUGUGGCCUUUAAGUUCGUCACCUCACAUUUCUUCAAUUAUUAUUCAUUAAUGUUCGCUUCACUCACCUAGCCUUAUAUCUUUCUAGUGGCGUCCACCAACGAAUGUAAUCCUUACUCUAACUGGGACUUUCAGAGAACGGGUCUCGAGGAUCUUAUCGUUGGGAAGAACGUGAAAUUGGUCCACCUUAUUCCUCUUUUCAUAACUUGGCUUGCUUUCUCGAUAUUCUCAAUCAUAGUUAGGGAUUUUUCCUCCUUUUAUCUUCUUUUAUUUUUAUUUAACUCGUUCUUAUCUUUCAUUUCUUUCGCAAGUCCUAUAUUAAAAGAGGAUCUGAUUGUGUUCUCGUCAAUCAUUUAAAUUCUCCCGUACUUGAGAGACCCCAUGCCCUACCCACGCCUUAGCUUUCGGAGGUGAUCCUGAUCACCCGAGCGACUACUAGUAUAGUAAAAUGCUUCCGAGGUCCAAUCAGAGUUCUUACCCUUUGAUAGGGAAAUGAUCAGCCACAGAGUGGUGAUGAUAUAUGACUCAGAUGAGGUACAUUCUGAGCCUCCCAAGAUUCAAAUGGACGAUCCGUGCUAGGGGAACUUUAAUUCAUCCUAAGGAUGCAUCCGUUAUUGGUCCAAAGACUAUUUAGGGUCUUCCCCCAUUCUCUUGCAUCGUUCGCCCAGUGGGAGCCUCACUUCAGAAACCGUUCUAGCCUAGGACCCCAUACUUUCGUGAAUGACCCAGACAUGUUUACCGGUUAUUUUUUAGAUCCAAUGGGUGAGCCAUUAAUAUCUUAGAAAGUUUGUCUGUCCAUUCCCUCAGAUGUAAAUUUCUUGUCUAGGCCGGCCCGAGUACCCAAUCAUUGGUCUCUCCUGGUGAUAAAAGAAGUUAGAUGUUGUUCCAGUUGAAUGCCUAGCAAUCGAGAGUGUCCAUGCCUCAGCGCAGGUAAACAAACUUUUCUUCUUCAAUUUUAUGUAACAAUUGCCCCUUCUUAUAUUGUUCCACAUUUUCCCACAUUCUAGGACAACUUCUUGGCUGUGGAUAACCUGCAAUUGCAGCAAAAAGAAUGGAGUACAAUGGAGACGUGUUGUACUAUGCUAUAGAUUUGAGGCCUACUAAGUGACCAACCCUAGUUGGUUGAGUCCCUUUUACACACUAAUUCUGAGGUUGAUGCCCUCAAGCUAUAGAUUGAAGAUGUUAAACAAGAGAGGGAGACCUUUCAGAAGAUGGCCCAGUAAAGGCGUGUCGACAUUGAGAGAUUGGAUCAGGAGCGUACAGUGCAUUUUGGAUGAUUGGGGGCUACUUUAUUGAUAGGGCGAGUUACAAGUAGAGCUUCAUAGGGAACUCUAAGGAUCCUCCCCCAAUCCUUCGAACGAGGUUGGUCUGUUACAUCCUAUCGAGGUGCUGGAUUAUUUUGAGCUUCAUCGGCUUUGGAAGAAGAUUUGCUUGCACAUGACCGCAACUCAAAUGGCAGGAUCUUUCCAUUAAUGGGCUUCUCGUAUACUCCUCGCAUGAUAGUACUCAUUUCAAAACUACCCUUUCUGGAGUCAUGGCCUACUUCCCUGCAAAGUAAAACACAAAAGAAAACUGGAAAGAAAGAAAAAGCUAAAAAUCCACACAGUUGCUUUGGCCCCAUUGUGGGCGCCAAACUAUUUACCAUUUUUUUUGUACAAUUGAAAUUGUUCAUGAGUCAAGAGCACGUGUGUAAGACCCUGCAAAGUUUCCUCGUAGUCUAAGCCUUUAGAGCACCUUAUUUCACCUUUAAAAGAUUAAGAAAUGACUUCCAAAGUGAUUAGUGUUUAAACCAUAUUGAAUUUUCCUAAUUUUGACUUUAUAUCACAUGGGAAAUUGAAUUAUCUUUUCAACGAUACCCAUUUCAUCAAAAUUCGAUGUUGGGGUAGAAAGUUAUGGCCGAAUUACAGAAAGCAGUCUGAACCGCCCAGGUGUGAUGGAAAGGGCCGACGGACUGUCGAGCUAGCGAUGGGCCGUCGCCCAAACCGUCACAGCGGAGGUAGUGAGUCCAUCUUCUGGCCAGGUGCGACGAAAUGGCCGACGGACCGUCAAGCUAGCAACGGACCAUCGCCCAAGCCGUCGCAACUAAGACAGAAAGAUCACGUUCUGGCCCGGGUGUGACGGUCAGGCUAACAGACCAUCGAGCUAGUGACGGAUUGUCGUACGAGGCGUCACAGAUUUCGUUCAGUAUUUUAAAGCUGUUUUAAAAAGGGCUUUUUGGUCUAUUUCCACCCUUUUCACAUCUAAAUACAUCAUAUUCAAGGCACAAACGUUAUAUUCCUUCCUAACAUUAAAAAAAACUAGGGUUUUCUCUCAAGAUUAACCCUCAAGAGCGAAUUCAAAUCUUUCUCCAAGAACCUUAAGAUUCCACCAUAGUUUCUACAAAUUGAGUUAAGAUUCAAGGUUCCCAAGUCAAAAGCUUCAAGAACCCUCACUCAAACAUACAAGAAAUAGUCUCAAGCAAGCUUAUUCAUCUACAAGUCAUAAUCUGAGGUAUGUGGGGUUUGAACAAAGGUAACCCUUUCACCCUUGUGCCCAAAGGCUUAUUUUAAAUUACUAAAUUUCAGCAAUUUAUGAGAUUUUUCAUGAAAUUAAGUUAGGGUUCAUACCCACUUUCAUUAUUUGUAAGAUUGUGAGAUUUCCCAUGGAUUAAAAGUUGAAUUACAUGAUUUUAUUUAUAUUUUCAUGCCUAUUGAUGAAAUUUACAGAUUCUAAGAUACUUUAUGAGUAAUUGCAUUACCAAGAAUGAAUUUUGAGAUAUUUGACUUGAGAUUACUGUUUGGGUCAAUAGACCCCUUUUAAAGAUUGUUGUUCAAGAUUGUUUGGGUCAUAAAUACCCCAUAGUUAAGCUAUUUUCAGAUUUUAGUUAAAGAUUUGACCUUUUGGGUCUAAGCUAAGGGAUCCAUAUUAAUUAUGACUUAAAGUCAAGAGAAGUAUAUUUGAUCUUUAUUAUAGACCCUUGAAUUAUUUUAAGGUGGAUUUCCUAAAAGUUCUGAGCUUAAGUAUGAGAGUAGUAUUUAGCAUCGAGUUGGGUAUAAUUCCAAGGUCUCAUGCCCCAGAACUACGUGCCCCCAUAGGUUUUUGAUAUACCCCAAGUGGGUUAAGAUAGUGAUCACUAAAGUUAAGGUUCUAUUUCGAUGGCAAGGGUAGAGCAGCUCUUUCCAACGUGGGCAAGACGUUGGACUCCAUGUGGCUCACAUAGUUUAUAUCGGUUAGAAUAUACUCCCAAAACAGUCCCCUACUCUAAUUAAGAUAAAAGUUUAUAUGUUGAAAGUUUGAUUUUGAGGUUCCCAAAGUCAUAAAAUCUCUAAGUUUUAAAGAAGUCCCUUAUCCCUUAUUCCCCAUAAGAUAAAAGUACAAGUUUUGAAAGCUACUAUUUUUAAGAUUUCUCUUGCUUACAAGUUUUGAGAAUAAGAUGGAGAAUACAGAUUUUAGAACUAAGUGUAAUGACUCACUAGAUUUGUACUAUAUGCUUCAAUAUACAUGAUUUAUGAGAUUCAGAUUUCAGUUUUACUCAAGCUAUGCGAGUCAUUCAUAUCAGUAUGCAUAUUUUAUAAAGAAUGAUAACACUGUUUACUUAAAUGCAGACACCCCCAUAUACUCCGUACAUCCUCAAAGUAUUGAUCCACAUAUACGUCUGUGUGCUACAUUGUCUCAUAAUGUAGGUUCAGGUGCUUAGUGCCAGCAGUGACAGUGAUUCCUAAGUACCUUUGUCUACACUCCACAGUUAGUGAGUCCUCAUGGUUCGAGGACCUAUUGCUCAGAUUUUCAGUUGUUAUUGCUUUCAGUUUAGUCGAGUCAGUUGGGGGUUUGUCCCAAUGACUCUCUAGUUCUUGAUUAGUAGAGGCUUUGUCAGACUAAAUUAUCAGUACGUUUAGACUUUCAGUAUUUUGAUUGUUCAGACAAGUAUUUCUUCGGAUUCCCUUUAUGAUUAUGAUAUGACAGUACCAUCGUUUUACUUUAUUCAUCUCAAAGUAAGUUUUAUAUGUAGUAGCAGGCUCAAAGGGGUAGCUUGGGGCUACUUGUAGACUUAAGCACCGUGUGACAUUCUGGGAUGAGAUUUCGGAGCGUUAUAACGUGUUACGGUCUUAUCUUUUGAUUUAAUAGUAAAUAUUUGCAGAAAAUCAAAUAACGUAACGAGAGAUCAAAAUGAACUAAACAAGCAGAUUAAGAGCAAAUCUUAUAGCGUAGGCCGAGUGUUAAAUUGUAUCAGCCAAGAGUAAGAAUGUGACCUAUAAGAUUUGCUAAUGCUUAAGGAGAAAACUAAGACUAUUUUAUUAAGGGUAAGCAUAAGCAAAAAUAAGAUCCUUAACAAUGGGAUCCUUAACAAUGGGGGAGAGGGUAUCUAUUUAUAGGGUGGAAAUGUUUCGCAUUGUCAAUAAAGGGAUUACCAUCCGUCCUAAUGUCAUUGGGAGCAACCAGCCCACUAGCAUGUGUCAGACGCGUCUCUGUUGAGGGCAAGUGGUGCUUCCUGAAAUACCUGACACAUUGUCCUUCCGUUUGUUUGUUGGUAUGCAGUCACUAUCUUUGGCUAGUCUCAAGCGCCCUUACCCUUUGGCGGAGUGCAAGCUCCAGCGUAUUGACAUCGUCCGAGAGAUGGUGUCAUUGUGGGCCGACUUUGCUCGCUGGGCCCAAAAUGACUCAAUCGGCCCAAUUGGCCCAAACACACGCUAAGCCAUUUCUAUCCUAUAGAAUAAUAUAUAAUUUAAACAAAUAUUAUCUGACUAAAAAGUGAUAGUGGGAGGUGAAAAUUAAUGUGGAUUACCAGUUAUGAAAUUUGUUUAGUCAUUUAUUUGAUCUUGAAGAACGUUUUUUUUCUUAGAAAAGUGUGUUUUUUCAAAGAGUCUAACCAAUCAGAACAUUUUGAGAAGAAUAUCUUCUUCCAUUCUAAAUACAUCUUUGUCCAUAUGUUUUUUUAAAUCUUUUAUACUUUUGGAUACCCUUACCAAAAUACAAUUAACAUUUUUAAUUAUAAAAGUAUUUAUAUAAACUACUGUUUUUUCUUGAUUCACUUAAUUAAAACUCCACUAUUACAAACAGUAAAGGUGAUGUAAAAAAUAAUAAUAGUAAUAAAUACUUCAUAAUUUUUUAAAAAAUAUCAUCUAUUUUGUAACAAAUUAAUUUUUUUAAAGCAAUAUUACUUAGGGUGGAAAUGAAUGUUUUAUAAAGCACAUAUAAUAAAUUCUUUUUCCUUUCUUGGGUCAUGUUUCAGAAAUUGUAUGUAUAGGUAGGUCAAAAGGAAGCGUUGUAUUAAAUAGAGACAGUCAAUUAGUCAUUACUGAGCUACCGGCAAAUGGACCCUCUGUCUGGAACCUAGCUACACUGAUACAGCAAUGCUAAUGAAUGAAAUAUUUACACUAGUGAGGUAUGCCAAGUCAUAUGUAUGUUCAAAAAUUAUUACUUGACAUUGUAAGGUGAACCACCACAUAAUCUCACACCACGUCUUUUAUUAUUCUUCGCAUUCUUUUUACUUCUUCUUUUAGUUUUCAUCAAUUUUGAAAUUAAUUGUACUAUGUGCAGGUUAAAGUUCUUUAGGAUCCUUUUGGCCAUAAAAAAACGGUGUUUUUGAAAAAAAUCUUGGCAAAAGUUAUUUGAACACACAAUUUGUUAUUCUUUUCACAUAAAUGUUUGGCAAAAAGCACCAGUUUCCAAAAUCUAAAAAAAAAAUGGGGGCCAAUUCUAAUUUUUGGAUAUUUUUAGAAAUUUAAAUUUUUUGUCAAAUUCUUAUAUUUUAUAAGAAAAUCCAGUAAUUCUUCUCACUUGGUGAACUAAUGAAAAUGUGUGCAUUUAUGUAUAUAGGUCAAGUUAUUAAUGCUUAGAGCUUAUUCUUUUUGGUAAACGAGAGAAUAUAUAUAUAUAUAUGUAUAUAUAUAUAUAUAUAUAACAACUAAGAGGGAUUACAAUGAGAAGCACAGCUUGUAGCAGUGUUAAAAUUAUGAUAGUUAUUACAAACCAUACUACUUAUACUAGGUUUAGCAUUAAAAGGGACAUGUAGACUAGUACUGAUAGCUUCAUUCCUAAAACAUAAAAGCAUAUUAAACAUAGACCAAGUAAUUAUUCUACUAGAUAGGACUCCACUAGCAUCCCGUUGGGGCUGAACAACAACUUGAACUGGUGGAGAAAACAAAAUAUGGUCAUUGCCCGGAUGUGGUAGAUGUGAACCCAAUCUUGACAAAAUGUUGGCAACUUGGUUUGCUUCAUGAAAACUGUGUUGUACCACUGGAUUCCCCAUGUUCUUCAAUAUUAACCUGCAAUUUGAGAUAAUAUCAGUAAAGGGAAAGCAUAGGUUUUGAAGUAGAUAGAGGAUUUCCAGUGAACUAGUUUCAAUAAUAAGAGGGAAGAAAUUCAUGUUUUUAGCUAGAGUUAGGCCAUGAAGAAACCUUUCAACUCAACCAUAGUAUGACAAUGGCUGAAACUUUUAUUGUAAAAACCUGCUUUCCAAGCAUCCGUGGAGUCCCGAAUGCUGCCUCCAAAUCCACAAAGAUUAUUAGUGGUAAAAAAAGAGCCAUCAAUGCUCAGCUUAAAAUGGUGAGCAGGGGGAGGGAACCAUCGAACAUUAAUACUAAUAGUGUCCGUGUGAUUAGUCCGAGCAGUAGCAUAGGUGCUAUAUUCCUGAAUUUUUUCAUGGAUCAUAGUUACAUUUGGGAAACCACAUUUUUUAAGAAAAACAUUAUUAUUCCUAAAAUAAUAAUAUACCAAAUAUUAUUAUUCCUAAAAUUCAAAUAUACCAAAGUGCAAAAGGAAGAAAAACUUGUUGGGUUCAAGGUGUAUAUGUGAAUGAAAAAUGGUGGAGGGAAGAGAGACACCAUUUUAGAAAGUGUACUCUCAAAUUGGAAAGUCUACUCUUUUUAAAGGAAAGUUCACUAAUUCUCCCACAUUGGUGGGAGAAGAGAACUUGUAAGUGUUUAUAAUGAGAAACACUAACUCCUCAUAGAUAGUGAGGCAAGAACAAGGUGGUGCCUCGUGCCGUCAUUGCUCGACUCAGCUUCGGAUGAGAUCUAAUUUUUUAGAUAAAAUUUAUUUGAAAUUUGUUUACAAGUGAAAUUUUUAAUCCAAAAUCUGAUAGUAUUAUUGUUCUCUAUAUGCGGGCGUAUUUUUGACGCCAUGCAGACGCAUACACAAUGCAUCAUGAAGGGAUGCGACCCUUCGAGGGAAAAGGCACACUGUUUCGCACUGUAGAGUGACCUGCGAGCGCAAACGCAGCGCAGGUACACGACCUGUGGGCGCAGAUAUAGCACAGAAGUUACUGAAAUAUGCCAAACGUUACUUGUGGCCGCAGAACAGGCGCAUGUCCAGCACAGACUGGGUGCAGGGAUGUGACUGCUGCUGAAAAAGUAUCUUUCUACUGAACCAAUACAUCCAUUCUAAAAGGAUACAUUAAAGGCUAUAAAUACCUAAUAUAAUGUAAUACCCCGUAUUUUCGUGCUAGAAUUUUAACCGUCGUUCCUGCGCGUCUAAGCUCUAAUCCAAGUGAUUCUCGCGUGAAUACAAGUUGUAUGAUCAUUAUCCUAGUCUAUGGAGUAGUUUAGAGGUGGAAAAUUUUUAUAGCAAUGACCUAGAACAAGGUUGAGCUAAGACCAAUUGAUUCAUCCAAAGUUUGACAUUUGAUUCUACAAGGGUCAACUUCAAACGUGAAUAUCUCUUAAUAUACAUGGAGUUUUUCAUCUCAAGACCUAUCAAAUUUUAGAUAAUUGAAUUAUCUUUCCAAUGAUACCAAUUUCGCAAAAAUCCGAUACCCGAACAAAGAGUUAUACCCAUUUUCGUGAGAGGCAGUAAGGGUGUGCGAUGGGCAAUGUGCCGCCCAAUCAAAUGUGUGUGAUUGGAAGUCCGAGGCACACUUAAAUGUCUGCCAUUUUCGUGAGAGGCAGUAAGGGUGUGUGAAGGGCAAUGCACCUCCCAAUCAAAUGUGUCCGAUUGGGAGUGCGAGGCACACUUAAAUGUCUGCCAUAAGGUGUGCGACGCACACCUUAAGGUCUGCCAUGGGUUGUGCACCGCAUACCUCACUUCCAAGUGCCAAAAACACCCCUAUAUAUGUAUAUAACACGAGAUUAAACUCCCAUAACACCAAAAUAAGUUUACUUUCUCUCAAAAUCACCAAGAACAUUCAUUAGGGUUUCAUCCUAAAAAUUCAAAUAUCUUAAGAUUCAACGGUAAGUUUUCAAUAAUUCUUCGAGAUUUGGAAUCCCUAUUCCGAGGGCUACAAGAAACACUCAUUAUUUUCACGAAUAGAUUCUCAAGGUCAAGAGUUCAUUCAAAGCUUCAAGUUUAAGGUAUGUGGGGUUUUUCAACAAGAACACUCUUNNNNNNNNNNNNNNNNNNNNNNNNNNNNNNNNNNNNNNNNNNNNNNNNNNNNNNNNNNNNNNNNNNNNNNNNNNNNNNNNNNNNNNNNNNNNNNNNNNNNNNNNNNNNNNNNNNNNNNNNNNNNNNNNNNNNNNNNNNNNNNNNNNNNNNNNNNNNNNNNNNNNNNNNNNNNNNNNNNNNNNNNNNNNNNNNNNNNNNNNNNNNNNNNNNNNNNUUUUUGAGAAAUCAUGUGUUAUAAACACCUUGAUUUUGAAUGAUUUGAGAUGAUGAAGAAGCUUUGACCUUUCGGUCGUAAAAUGAGAUAUUUUUGAACCCGAGAUGAGAAAAGAAAUCCACUUUUAUUGAUUAUUAUGAAAAGGGUAGCAAGAUGGCUCCCGUUGUGAAUUGUGAAACUGUUUAUUAGUGGAUUUUCUUUUGAAAAGAUUUGAGCUAAGUCCGGGAGUAGUCUUUAGCACCGAGCGGGAGGUAUAGCUAUUUUGGUACUUCCCUAGAACUACGUGCCCCCGUAGGAUAUAAGCAUGAGGCUGAUUUAUAUAGUGAUCACUAGUGUUUGGAUUGAUGAUUUAUGGUCCUACUUCGAUGGCAAGGAUAGGACAGCUCUCCCCAACGUGGGUUAGACGUUGGGCUCCAUGUAGCUCACAUGGUUUAUGUCGGUUGUAAGAGACUCCCAAUGUGUGUAUGUGUAUUCUCCUAUCUAAUAUGAAAAGUCUUAUUCUUCUAUCUGAGAUGAAAACAUAUUUGUUUGAAAGACUGAGUUUGAGAAAGUUAUUGUUUCGAAAGAUUUAAUAAACAUAUAUUCCAAAGAGAAUUGUUAUGAGAUUUGAUUGCUUUGAUGAUUUGGAAUCAAGAUGGAAGUGAAUUGGGAUUUAUUAUGAUGACUCUCAUGUUUCACCCGAUAUAUUUUACUCUCUUAUGAUUAUUAUGAUUUUAAUUCGAGCUAAGUGAGUCAUUUAUAUCAGCAUGCAUAAUUUUAUAAACUGUGACGAUAUUAAGAUAUUAUUUUAUAUAUGCAUUGCACCCCCAUAUGCUAGGUACGUUUCCAUAAUACUGACCCACAUAUUCAUAUGUGGGCUACAUUUUCUCAAAAUAUAGGUACAAGGUAUAGUGUAUAUCUUCAGAUCCAGUCAGUAUCCAGCAGGUGAUGGGUCUUUUUGAUUCAAGGGCUUGAGUUAGUUAUACAGUUUACGAAGUGUUGUAUUUUCUUUAUCUAGCCGUAUUAAGUUGGGAUAGUCGGGAGUCAUAACCCAGCUACCUAUAGUCAGUACUAGUAGAGGCUUCAUAGACAGUCAGUAGAAGUUGAUAUAUUCCGUUUCAGUUUUAGUUGUAAAAGUAGAGGUGUAAUUUUGUAAAUUUAGUUUUGUAUCUAUCAUAUUUAGAAAAGAGUUAUUUUUCGCAGAUUUGUAUAGAUUUAUACUUUUUGUUCAGUUGCUUUUAAGUUAUGCCAGUAGAAGGGUUAGCUUGGGAUCACUUAUGAUCCUAAGCACCGUGUGACGUCUCGAAACACGAUUUUAGGUUGUUACAAACUCGGUAUCAGAGCACAGAGUUCAAGUGUCCUAGGGUGUCUAUGAAGUCGUGUCUAGUAGAGUCUUAUGGAAUGGUAUGGAGACAUCUGUACUUUUCUUCGAGAGGCUACAGGGCAUUUAGGAAAUGUCUCCAUUCUUUCAAGUCUAAAAUCGUGCUAUAGAAAAGUUCUCUAAGAAACUUAUUCAAAUUCUCAUCUUACUCUAGUCAGACCAUCUCUGCUUUAUUUCCAAGAUAUCAAAAAAAAUUGAGCUUAAUUCUCCAUAGAUAGAUAUGGAAUUGUAAGAGAGCUACAAAAGUAUCCUAUCAGUACUUUUGAGUUCCGAAAACUGAAGUGCUUUAUCAGGCGUGUAGAAAUCGUUCACUAAGACCGAGUCAGAUAUGCUUUUAAAUUUAUCCUCAGAAUCUAUAAUAAUAAUCUAUACUUCUCUAUCUAUGUGUUGUUCUUAAGGUAACAUAUUCGGCAAGUUCCAAUUUUCUCCCCAGAUAAUGCUCUUAUAUUUGCUGGCAGAAGUUUUAGAAGUUUCAUAAAGUGGCUUGAGAGGAGCCUUCUAGUGUGUUAUAAGCCCUUUAAAUUUAAGUUAUGCCCUCGUUCUUAUGAGUUAUUUAAUUAAGGUAGAGUAAGGUGUAUUCUUAGAUCGUUGAAUGUUGUGUGUCAAGUUUCUAUCUGUUGUAUUAUGCAAUCUUGUUAUCAUUAUGUUUGUGAAAAAUCAAAGUCUAGUGAGGCCUAUUUCAAUUCACUAGCAUAGUUUCUUUGUUAUUCAUAUAAUUUUCUUAAUCAAAACACAAAACCAAAGUCUAGUGAAGCCGUGUGAGGCCUAUUUUGAUUCACUAGCAACUUGUUAUUUAUCUUGUUGUUCUGGUGUUAGUUAAAAGUGUGGGUUUCUUUGUAGUGACAGAAGUAGUAACGUUUAGUUAAAAGUUUUGUGUUAGUUGAACUUGUGGGUUUAGAAUUGUAGUGGCAAGAAUGGUGGUAAGGGCGAUUUAUUGAAUAUGUAUAGCUGAAUUUUUGCUUAUGAUUGAAUUAGUAAUGAAGUGAUAUACCCUUGUUUGUUAUUUUAGUAAAGUUAGAGAAGGGGAUUAUUAGUUAAGGUGGAUUGUUGUUUGCUUGAAGUAUGAAAAGAGUUAUUGAUAGUAUUUGUUGUGCUAGGAAAGUAUAGGUUUUGAUGGAAGUACUUGGUGGUUGAGUAUUGUUAAUUUAGGAUUUCCUGAGAUUGCAAGAGGAAGUUUGGUUAAAAUUUAUAGAGCUAUGGAAGUAAUUUAGGUGUGAAGAUGGGUAAAUAGUAAUGAUGAGAAGAAGGAGGAUGUGUUAAUGGAUUAUGAAUAAGAUAGGCCAUAUGAUUAUGAUCAAUUGUCAUUGUGUACUAGUCUUUCUUAAUAUUGUGUUCUAUAGUUUUGAAGGGAGAAUUAUGUGUGAGAUUGGGUUGUAAAUCAUGUUUAGCUCUAGAUAUUAAGUUUGAACAGUUGAUGGUUCAGUUGUUGAUGCUAGUUAUAUGGAGGUGGUCUAGUAGGCCUGAACAGUGUAUGCAAGAGAAUAUGAUCAUGUGUUCGUAAUUAAGUAUGAUGUAGAGGUGUGCCCAAGGUGCUAUGGGGCUGCAUUGUUUUUUGAGGAUUAUUGCAUAUUAUAUGGUUAGUAGUCACGUUGAGUUGCUAGGUGGAGAAAGGCUAGUUAGAUAAUUUAUGUUGUUCUUGAUAGCUAAGUUAAGGAGUUAUGAUUGAAGAUGUUGAGUCUUUUUAGUAUGAUUUUAUUCUCAUGGUUUGGGAAAAAUAUAAGUAUAGAAGUGUGAUCUUGGUAAGCUAUGAUUAUGUUAUUAGAGAUGUAAGUAUGGUUGCAAAUGAGAGUGUAAGUCUUUGAUGAUGAUUAUUGAAGCUAGAAAGUUAAGGAUGGCAUAUGAAUGGGUUGUUCAAGAAUGAAGUCGGUAAGUUCGAAAUUAGUUUACUCUUGUGAGUUUAGCAUUUAUGUAUAGAUAUUAGAAUGAUGAAAUUAUGGCUUAAUCUCGAGGAUAUGGAGUAGACCAACAUACUUAGAAUACUAGCUUCGACCUAAGGGGGAGAUGGUUAGUGAAGAACCAAACCGAGUUUUGAGAAUUAAAUCGUGAUACAUGUCAAUAAUAAGUUAUGAUGAGAUAGUGAUCCCUUCUUANNNNNNNNNNNNNNNNNNNNNNNNNNNNNNNNNNNNNNNNNNNNNNNNNNNNNNNNNNNNNNNNNNNNNNNNNNNNNNNNNNNNNNNNNNNNNNNNNNNNNNNNNNNNNNNNNNNNNNNNNNNNNNNNNNNNNNNNNNNNNNNNNNNNNNNNNNNNNNNNNNNNNNNNNNNNNNNNNNNNNNNNNNNNNNNNNNNNNNNNNNNNNNNNNNNNNNNNNNNNNNNNNNNNNNNNNNNNNNNNNNNNNNNNNNNNNNNNNNNNNNNNNNNNNNNNNNNNNNNNNNNNNNNNNNNNNNNNNNNNNNNNNNNNNNNNNNNNNNNNNNNNNNNNNNNNNNNNNNNNNNNNNNNNNNNNNNNNNNNNNNNNNNNNNNNNNNNNNNNNNNNNNNNNNNNNNNNNNNNNNNNNNNNNNNNNNNNNNNNNNNNNNNNNNNNNNNNNNNNNNNNNNNNNNNNNNNNNNNNNNNNNNNNNNNNNNNNNNNNNNNNNNNNNNNNNNNNNNNNNNNNNNNNNNNNNNNNNNNNNNNNNNNNNNNNNNNNNNNNNNNNNNNNNNNNNNNNNNNNNNNNNNNNNNNNNNNNNNNNNNNNNNNNNNNNNNNNNNNNNNNNNNNNNNNNNNNNNNNNNNNNNNNNNNNNNNNNNNNNNNNNNNNNNNNNNNNNNNNNNNNNNNNNNNNNNNNNNNNNNNNNNNNNNNNNNNNNNNNNNNNNNNNNNNNNNNNNNNNNNNNNNNNNNNNNNNNNNNNNNNNNNNNNNNNNNNNNNNNNNNNNNNNNNNNNNNNNNNNNNNNNNNNNNNNNNNNNNNNNNNNNNNNNNNNNNNNNNNNNNNNNNNNNNNNNNNNNNNNNNNNNNNNNNNNNNNNNNNNNNNNNNNNNNNNNNNNNNNNNNNNNNNNNNNNNNNNNNNNNNNNNNNNNNNNNNNNNNNNNNNNNNNNNNNNNNNNNNNNNNNNNNNNNNNNNNNNNNNNNNNNNNNNNNNNNNNNNNNNNNNNNNNNNNNNNNNNNNNNNNNNNNNNNNNNNNNNNNNNNNNNNNNNNNNNNNNNNNNNNNNNNNNNNNNNNNNNNNNNNNNNNNNNNNNNNNNNNNNNNNNNNNNNNNNNNNNNNNNNNNNNNNNNNNNNNNNNNNNNNNNNNNNNNNNNNNNNNNNNNNNNNNNNNNNNNNNNNNNNNNNNNNNNNNNNCAUAUAGCCUGUAAUCUAGUUUAGCAAGCAAGGAGAUAAUCUCCUAUAGAUUCUUAAUUUUCCAGCUAGUCUUACUAUCCGCAGUCUUAUAUGUAUGUACAUUCCAAGAGGCAAUGUGUUUGUAUCCAAUUAAAUUAUGAAUUCAGCUCAGUUCAUACAUCAGUUUCAGUUUCAAAUAUUAAGUCAUGAUUCAGUUCGUAAAUAUCUUGUGUAGUAUUACAGUCUCUUCCUAGUAUUUUCAUUAAAUUAUUAUCAUUUGGGGAUGAAUGAUCCGAAGAGGGGGAUGUUGUAAUACCCCGAGUUUUCAUGUCAUAAACCUCCCAUCCUUUCUCAUGAGAUCAGAUCCAGUGCAAAACAAUGGUUACUUAUAAGUUGGCACUCUCAUUUCAAUCUUAGCCAUAUAGUUAUUUUUCUAGAGGAUUCAUGCACUUGCAGACCAGUUCAGUAGCUCAUUAUUCUUGAGAUCCAGUGAUUCAGUUCUAUCAAUUACACAUGAUAUCUUGAAGACUAAGAUUCCUCUGUGUUUCAGGUUAAUUAUCCACAUUCGAGGACGAAUGUUCCCAAGGGGGAGAUAAUGUAAUACCCCGUAUUUUUGUGCUAGAAUUCUAACCAUCGUUCUUGCGCGUCUAAUCUCUAAUCCAAGUGAUUCUCACAUGAAUACAAGUUUCAUGAUCAUUAUCCUAGUCUAUUGGGUAGUUUAGAGGUGGAAAAUGUUUAUAGCAAUGAUCUAGAACAAGGUUGAGCUAAGACCAAUUGAUUCAUCCAAAUUUUGACAUUCGAUUCUACAAGGGUCAACUUCAAAUGUGAAUAUCUCUUAAUAUACAUGGAAUUUUUCAUCUCAAGACCUAUCAAAUUGUAGAUAAUUGAAUUAUAUUUCCAACGAUAUCAAGUUCGCAAAAAUCCGAUACUCGAGAGAAGAGUUAUGCCCAUUUUUGUGAGAGGCAGUAAGGGUGUACGAUGGGCAAUGCGCCGCCCAAUUAAAUGUGUGCGAUUGGGAGUGCGAGGCACACUUAAAAGUUUGCCAUUUUCAUGAGAGGCAGUAAGGGUGUGCGAUGGGAAAUGCACCACCCAAUCAAAUGUAUGCGAUUGGGAGUGCGAGGCAUACUUAAAUGUCUGCCAUAAGGUGUGUGACGAACACCUUAAGGUUUGCCAUGGGUUGUGCGCCGAAUACCUUACUUCCAAGUGCCAAAAACACUCCUAUAUAUGUAUAUAACAUGGGAUUAAACUCCCAUAACACCAAAAUAAGUUUACUUUCUCUCAAAAUCACCAAGAACAUUCAUUAGGAUCUCAAGAUUCAACCAUGAGUUUUCAAUAAUUCUUCGAGAUUUGGAAUCUCCAUUUCGAGGGCUACAAGAAACACUCAUUAUUUUCACGAAUAGAUUCUCAAGGUCAAGAGUUCAUUCAAAGCUUCAAGUUUAAGGUAUGUGAGGUUUUUCAACAAGAACACCCUUUCGUUCUUAUGCCCAAAAUUUAUAUUACUUUACAAUGAUUUUACAUGCUCUACUUAUGAAUUUGAGAUGGAAAUUUGAAAUAAAUAUUCUUGUUGAAGAAGUUAUAAUAUUUUUGAUGCUUUGAAGAUGAACUUCAUGAGCGUUGAUGUGAAUAUUCAUGAUUAAAGAUAGAUUUUUAGAUUUUCGUAUGAAUCAUACAUGUUUAUGUUUAUGAUGUAAAGCUUGAAUCUUGAUAAGUUUUAAUGUGAUAUUGAGACAUGAGUUUUGAAAUCUAUUUGAGAUUGUUGUUUUUGAGAAAUAAUGUGUUAUAAACACCUUGAUUUUGAAUGAUUUAAGAUGAUGAAGAAGCUUUGACCUUUCGGUCGUAAAAUGGGAUGUUUUUGAACCCGAGAUGAGAAAACAAAUACACUUUUAUUGAUUAUUAUGAAAAGGGUAGCAAGAUGGCUCCCGUUGUGAAUUGUGAAACUGUUUAUUAGUGGAUUUUCUUUUGAAAAGAUUUGAGCUAAGUCCGGGAGUAGUCUUUAGCACCGAGCGGGAGGUAUAGCUAUUUUGGUACUUCCCUAGAACUACGUGCCCCCGUAGGAUAUAAGCAUGAGGCUGAUUUAUAUAGUGAUCACUAGUGUUUGGAUUGAUGAUUUAUGGUCCUACUUCGAUGGCAAGGAUAGGACAGCUCUCCCCAACGUGGGUUAGACGUUGGGCUCCAUGUAGCUCACAUGGUUUAUGUCGGUUGUAAGAGACUCCCAAUGUGUGUGUGUGUAUUCUCCUAUCGAAUAUAAAAAGUCUUAUUCUUCUAUCUGAGAUGAAAAUAUAUUUAUUUGAAAGACUGAGUUUGAGAAAGUCAUUGUUUUCGAAAGAUUUAAUGAACAUAUAUUCCAAAGAGAAUUGUUAUGAGAUUUGAUUGCUUUGAUGAUUUGGAAUCGAGAUAGAAGUGAAUUGAGAUUUAUUAUGAUGACUCACAUGUUUCACCCAAUAUAUUUUACUCUCUUAUGAUUAUGAUGAUUUUAAUUCGAGAUAGUGAGUCACUUAUAUCAGCAUGCAUAAUUUUAUAAACUGUGAUGAUAUUAAGAUAUUAUUUUAUAUAUGCAUUGCACCCCCAUAUGCUCGGUACGUUUCCAUGGUACUGACCCACAUAUUCGUAUGUGGGCUACAUUUUCUCGGAAUGUAGGUAAAAGGUAUAGUUUACAUCUUCAGAUCCAGUCAGUUCGUGCCAUCCAGUCAGCAGGUGAUGAGUCCUUUUGAUUUAAGGGCCUGAGUUAGUUAUACAGUUCGAGAAGUGUUGUAUUUUCUUUAUCCAUCCAUAUUGAGUUGGGAUAGUCGGAAGUCAUGACCCAGCUACCUAUAGUCAGUACUAGUAGAGGCUUCAUAGAUAGUCAGUAGAAGUUGAUAUAUUCCAUUUCAGUUUUGAUUGUAAAAGUAAGUUGUAAUCUUGUAAAUUUAGUUUUGUAUCUAUCAUAUUUAGAAAAGAGUUAUUUUCCACAGAUUUGUAUAGAUUUAUACUUUUUGUUCAGUUACUCAUGAGUUAUGCCAGUAGAAGGGUUAGCUUGGGGUCACUUAUGAUCCUAAGCACCGUGUGACGUCUCGGAACCCAAUUUCGGGGCGUUACAUAUAAUCCUUAGGUAUUUGCAUGAUUUUUGACAACAAAAACACUCUUCUUCUAUACAAAAACUCUGUGUGAUCAUUAAGCUGUUGAGUGAGUUCGAAGAAUCCAACAAUUUGGGGCACCGCUAUUAUUCAGAUUGAAGACCAUUUUAUUCUAGGAGAAAGAUUCCAUAACUUCGGGUACAGUGAGGGGAAUUAUUCCUUAAGGACACUCUGUGAAGUCGGGGGACUUGGCCUUAAAAUUUUGUUUCAUCUUAUUUCUAAAAGUUAACAUACUUCCUGGAUAGAUUAUUUAUAAUAUUGUGUUGAAGGUGUUUAGGAACUUAAUAAGUAUUCUAGUCCUAGACUUGAACUUUUGUUGAAGUUAUUGGUGCAUGUAUAUAUAGAUUCUUGUACCCGAAAAUGUUGUAAAUAACAAUCUUAAGUAAUAACCAUUUCGGAAUCUGUAUAGCUUGUUUUUAGAGAUUAAAGCUUUAAGCUUUCUACUCUGUUUGAACUUAACUAGUGAUUUGAAGACAUAAAAUCUUCAUCACAAGUUAAAUAUCACCCGGUUGACGAUUGAAAGUCAUAAAAACUUCAUCAUUAAACUAGAAACAAGAAGUGUUUAAAUUUGCUGCAAUUUUGUAAUAAGUAUUUCGAUAUACUAAAGGUACUGUCUUGUUGUGAUAGAAAAAUGACUAACGAUAGUCAAGUACAAGAGGCUGGAAUGAAUGUGGGGGAAACUAGUAUUUCCACAACAUAUCACACAAAUGCUCCGCCGCCGAUGGUACCAACAGAGAAACUCAGAAAGUUUGCGGGUAUUGGCUUUUAGAGAUAGCAGCAGAAAAUGUUCUUCUACCUCACCAGUCUCUUUCUUCAAAGGUUCACGGUUGAGAAAGCUCUGAAGGUGCCCUAGGGAACCUCUAAAAAAGAAUACUUUGUGAUUGUGGAGGCUUGGAAACACUCAGAUUUCCUUUGCUGGAAUUAUAUCUUGAGUGGUCUCCAAGAUGACCUUUACAAUAUGUACAGUGGAACAAAGACAUCGAAAUAUUUAUGGGGAGUGCUAGAACGGAAGUACAAGAUGGAGGAUGUAGGAACUAAAAAGUUCUUUGUUGCAAGAUUCCUAGAGUAUAAAAUGGUAGACAACAAGUCUGUUGUUUCUUAAAAAAUAGAUGAUCUAUGUGCUAUGCAUUCCAAAUGCAACAAUGGUGGGAAAUCCUCAUAAAUGGUGGAUGGAUUUUUGUACCACCCGCUAUGUUUGUGCUAACAAGGAGUUGUUUUGUACGUUUUCUCCAACUCAAGUAGAAGAAAAGAUCUACAUGGCAAACUCCGCUGCUGCAAAAGUAGAAGGAACAGGAAAAGUGUGCUUGAAGAUGACUUCCGGCAAAGUGUUGACACUUAACAAUAUUUUGUAUGUUCCGAAGUUACGGAAGAACUUGAUUUCAGUUUCACUUCUAGACAAUAACGGAUUCAAAUGUGUAUUUAUUUUUGAAAAAAAUGUACUUAGUAAAGGAGAAGUGUAUCUAGAAAAAGGCCACCUCAAUGAGGGCCCAUUCAAAAUAAAUGUAAUGAAUAUUGAAAUCAAUAAAAGUUUAAUUUCUUCUUACUUUCUUGAGUCUUACGAUUUAUGGCACGAAAAUUUAGGCCAUGUUAAUUACAAAACAUUACGAAAACUGAUUAACUUAGAAGUUUUGCCAAACUUUGAGUGCAAUAAAUCAAAGUGUCAAAACGUGUGUGGAAUCAAAGUAUUCAAAGCAUCCUUAUAAGUCCGUUGAAAGGAAUUCCAAUUCCUUAGACUUAAUACACACGAACAUUUGUGAUAUGAAAUCAACACCAUCACAUGGUGGAAAAAAGUAUUUCAUAACUUUUAACAAUGAUUGCACAAGAUAUUGUUAUGUCUAUUUGCUAAAUAGUAAGGAUGAAGCAAUAGAUGCGUUUAGGCAAUACAAAACUGAAGUUGAAAAUUAGUUAGAGAAAAAGAUAAAAAUGAUAAGAAGUGAUAGGGACGGAGAAUAUGAAUCUCCCUUCGCUGAAAUAUGUGUAGAGAAAGGAAUUGUCUAUCAAACUACAACCCCGUAUUCACCUCCAUCUAAUGGAAUUGCAGAAAGAAAAAAUCAAACUUUGAAGAAAAUGAUGAAUGUCUUACUUUUAAGUUCAGGUUUACCACAAAGCUUGUGGGGGAGAGGCUAUCCUUACAGCCAACCGUAUACUCAAUAGAGUUUCCCAUAGUAAGACACAAUCCAUUCCUUAUGAAAAAUAGAAAGGAAGGAAACCCAACUUGAAAUAUUUCAAAGUGUGGGGGUGUCUAGCAACGAUCCAAGUUCCUAUGCCUAAAAAGGUUAAGAUAGGACCUAAGACGGUGGAAUGUGUGUUCAUAAGAUAUGCUAAAAGUAGUAAAGCAUGUCAGUUUUUGGUUCAUAAAUUCGAACAUCCAGAUAUUAAUGAAAAUAUGGUAAUUGAAUCAGAUAAUGCUGAAUUCUUUGAAAAUAUUUACCCGUAUCAAACAAAUAUGAACAAUCUAGUGGGGGUCUAAACAAUCCCGAGAUGAACCAAGUGAGAAUGUACAUAAUGAUGAGAAUCCAAGAUGCAAGACACAUCAAAGAACGUCAACUUCGUUUGGAUCAAAUUUUGUAAUAUUUCUCUUAGAAGAUAAGCCUCAAAUAUUUAAGAAAGCGAUGCCAUCAUCGGACUCAUCUUUUUGGAAAGAGGCAAAAGAUAGUGAGAUUGAUUCAAUCUUAAGCAACCAUACAUGGGAUUUCGUUGAUCUUCCUCCAGGAAAUAAACCUUUCAGUUCUAAAUGGAUCUUCAAAAGGAAAAUGAAAGCUGAUGGUACUAUUGAUAAGUAUAAGGAAAAACUUAUUGUAAAAGGCUUCAAACAAAAGGAAGGCCUUGAUUACUUUAAUACAUACUCUCCAGUAAUGAGAAUAAUGUCAAUUCGGAUGUUAAUUUCCUUGGAGGCAGUAUAUGGUCUUGAAAUCCAUCAAAUGGAUGUGAAAACAGUAUUCCUAAAUGAAGAAUUGGAGGAAGAAAUCUACAUGGAACAACCUAAGGGUUUUGUGGUUCCAGGAAAGAAAAAUGAGGUGUGUAAACUUAUUAUGUCACUUUAUGGACCAAACAAGCACCUAAAUAAUGGCAUGAAAGUUUGAUUAAACCAUGUUGGCAAACGGGUUAUAGAUAAAUGAAUGUGAUAAAUGUGUUUACAUUAAAGACACUCCAAAUUACCAAGUCAUUGUGUGUUUGUAUGUGGAUGAUAUGUUGAUCAUCAGUAGAGACAUUUCGAACAUAAAUGAAAUAAAAUAAAUACUUGAGAGCAAGUUUGAUAUGAAAGACCUUGGAGUUGUGGAUGUGAUCUUAGGAAUAAGAAUCCAUAGAACUCCAUAAGGGUUGACAUUGUCACAGUCUCAUUAUAUCAAAAAGGUACUUGACAAAUUCAAGUAUAUGGAAUUCGGUAUUGCCAAAACUCCAUUGGACGUGAGCUUUACACUUCAAAAGAAUGAAGGUGAAAAUGACUCACAAUUGGAGUACGCAAGAAUAUUGGGAUGUUUAAUGUAUAUAAUGAGCUGUACACAACUAGACAUAGUAUGCGCUAUAAGUAAAUUGAGUCGGUACAUGAGUAAUCCUAAUAAAACUUAUUGGAUGGCAAUGAAAAGAGUUUUGGGGUAUCUUAAAUACACUCAAGACUAUGCUUUUCAUAAUAAUAAAUAUCCAGCGAUACUUGAAGGAUAUAGUGAUGCAAAUUAGAUCACCGGAUCGAACGAAGUAAAAUCCACGAGUGGAUAUGUAUUUACUAUCGAUGGAGGAGGGGUCUCUUAGAAAUCAUCCAUACAGACUUGUAUUGCUUGCUCUACAAUGGAAUUUGAAUUUAUCGAGUUAGAUAAAGCUAGUGAAGAAGCAGCAUGACUCCAAAAUUUCUUGGAAGAUAUUCUUUAUUGGCCCAAACCAGUGGCACCAGUAUGUAUACGCUGUGAUAGCCAAGCAGCAAUAGGUAGGGCAGGGAGCAUGAUGUACAAUGAUAAAUCUCGUUACAUAAGAUGAAUACAUAAUACCGUUAGAGAACUUUUCUCUAGUGGAAUUAUCACUGUUGAUUAUGUAAAGUCAAAGGGUAAUAUGUCGAAUCUACUUACAAAAGGCCUAUCUAGAGAAGGAGUUGAGAGGAUAUCCAAGGGAAUGGGUUUAAGUUCUAGGACAAGUCAGCAUGGCGGUAACUCUACCUAGCAGACUGGAGAUUCCAAGAGCUAGGUUUAAAGAGAUCAAACAAAGUUGUGACUAACGGGUUCAACAUUGUCAAUACCCAGCCCAUUCUCAUGAUGUAGACAAUGUUUAGUAAACAAGGAUAAGACUUAAAGUGAAAAGUCUUUUAAUGAUUAUCUAAAUUUGACAGAUUUAACGGUUAUCAAAAUUUGGUAGAUUCAACCAAAUAGUUUAAACUAUAGGAUUGAACGUUUAGAAAUCACCUAUGUGAGGGCAAAGUGGAAGCCGUUUCAAGGAGAAUGUUAGUAAAGGCCUAUUCUCUAAGCGCUUAUGAAACCAGAACAUGUUCAUGGUUGAAAAGAAUAAAAUUGUGAGAACCAUAAAUAGUAAAAAAGCUGGUUGUGUGACAUGUGUUGUCUAGGUGUACAUUAAAGCUUGAUGGUUCAAAGAUAUCAAAUGUACCGAUGGAUCGAGUGCAUCCGAUGCAUGUUCAAUACGGAAAGUUCAAAGGAAAACCUACUUAUCUAGAUGGAAUUAGCCUUUGCUAAAUGAUCACAUGCUUGUCCAUAAAUUUAUUUAAAAGAUAGUCAUUCCCCAUUCAUAUGGGGGAUUAUUGGGUUCAAGGUGUAUAUGUGAAUGGAAAAUCAAGGAAAAAUGAUGGAGGAAAGAGAGACACCAAUUUAGAAAGUGUACUUUCAAAUUGGAAAGUUUACUCUUUUUAAAGGAAAGUUCUCUGAUUCUCCCACAUUAGUGGGAGAAAAGAAAUUGUAAGUGUUUAUAAUAAGAAACACUAACUCCACAUGGAUAGUGAGGCAAGAACAAGGUGGUGCCUCGCACCGUCAUCGUCGCUCGCUUGGAUCGGGUUUGGAUUUGGAUUUGGAUUUGGAUUUUUCAAAUGAUCGAUCAAUGAGAUCUAAUUGUUUAGAUAAAAUCAUUUGAAACUUGUUUACAAUUGAAAUUUUAAAUCCAAAAUCUGAUAAUAUUAUUUUUCUCCAAGUGCGGGCAUAUUUUUGACGCCAUGCAGAAGCAUACGUAAUGCAUCACGAAGGGAUGCGACCCUUCAAGGGAAAAGGCACACUGUUUCACGCUGUAGGGUGACCUACGGGCUCAGCCAAACAUCACCUACGGCUGUUGAGCAGGCGCAUGUCCAGCACAGACUAGGCGUAGGGACGUUACUGCUGCUAAAAAGAUGCCUUUCUACUGAACCAAUACAUCCUUUCUAAAAGGAUACAUUGAAGGCUGUAAAUACCUGAUAUAAUCCUUGGGUAUUUGCAUGAUUUUUGACAGCAAAAAUACUCUUUUUCUAUAUAAAAACUCUGUGUGAUCAUUAAACUGUUGAGUGAGUUUGAAGAAUCCAACAAUUUGAGGUACCACUAUUAUUCGGAUUAAAGGCCAUUUUAUCCUGGGAGAAAAUUCCAUAACCUCGGGUACAGUAAGGGGAGUUAUUCCUUAAGGACACUCCGUGAAGUCGGGGGACUUGGACUUAAAAUUUUGUUUCAUCUCAUUUCUAAAAGUUAACAUACUUCUUGGAUAGAUUAUUUAUAAUCUUGUGUUGAAGGUUUUAAGGAACUUUAGAAGUGUUCUAGUCCUAGACUUGAACUUGUAUUGAAGUUAUUGGUGCAUGUAUAUACAGAUUUUUGUACCCGAAAACGUUGUAAAUAACAAAACUAUCCAGUCAAAGGAGGGGACCAUAAAAUGGGGAAAGAGAUUUUUUAGGCUGAUAAGACAAUGCUGAGUAGUAUCCAUAAAAGAGAGAUUGAGACCCACAUCUAACUAGAAUUUUUUUAACACCGAGUGAAUAUAUGAGAAAUUUUCUAGGUUCUAAUUGACAAAUCGGACAGUAUGAAUCCCGAAGAAUACCUAUGAAGCUAUGAUAAUCAGAAGUAGGGAGCCUACCGUGCGAACAAAUCCAAAGAAAGUGUUUAAUAUUUUCAUAAGUCUUAAGUUUCCAGAUCCAAUAGAAGCUGUACUUUGAAAUGGAAGGAUCACAAAGCAUGGUAUAGGCCGAUUUAAUCAAAAAUAGGUUCUUGCUAUUAUAAGCCCAAUAGUGUUUAUCCCAAUUGCCAAUGUGAGGGUUCGGAUGAAUUGUAUUAGCCCUAGCAAUGAAGGC
RNAcentral lists this long non-coding RNA (43143 nucleotides) under Capsicum annuum. RNAcentral describes it as "long non-coding RNA (CANN_LNC016292)". Lineage: Eukaryota; Viridiplantae; Streptophyta; Magnoliopsida; Solanales; Solanaceae. The record is from RNAcentral.